GACGAACCGUGCGAACGUUAUUCGGAAUCACUGGGCUUAAAGCGCGUGUAGGCGGGCGGGUACGUCGGCGACUGAAAGCCCCCGGCUCAACCGGGGAAGUGGUGCCGAAACGGCCGGCCUGGAGGGGCGUAGGGGGACCUGGAACUUCCGGUGGAGCGGUGAAAUGCGUUGAGAUCGGAAGGAACGCCCGUGGCGAAAGCGAGGUCCUGGACGCCAUCUGACGCUGAGACGCGAAAGCCAGGGGAGCGAACGG
RNAcentral lists this ribosomal RNA (253 nucleotides) under uncultured bacterium. RNAcentral's name for it is "partial 16S ribosomal RNA". It matches the Rfam family "Bacterial small subunit ribosomal RNA", at positions 524 to 775 of the family's 1533-position model. The record is from RNAcentral.